Molecule: unclassified non-coding RNA, 391 nt
Filed under: soil metagenome
Description: partial contains 5.8S ribosomal RNA, internal transcribed spacer 2, and large subunit ribosomal RNA
Rfam family: 5.8S ribosomal RNA (bases 1-122)
Source: RNAcentral
GAUGAAGAACGUAGCGAAAUGCGAUACUUGGUGUGAAUUGCAGAAUCCCGUGAACCAUCGAGUCUUUGAACGCAAGUUGCGCCCGAAGCCAUUAGGCCGAGGGCACGCCUGCCUGGGCGUCACACGUCGUUGCCCCCCCAUCUACUCCUUCGGGAUUGCGGGGGGCGGAUGAUGGCCUCUCGUGCGCCUCGUCGCGCGGUUGGCCUAAAUGCCAAGUCCUCGGCGACGCACGCCACGACAAUCGGUGGUUGCGAAACCUCGGUUGCCUGUCGUGUGCGGUCGUCGCGCAUCGAGGGCUCGAAAAAAUUGCCGGGCUUCGGCUCGACUUUCAACGCGACCCCCGGUCAGGCGGGGUUACCCGCUGAAUUUAAGCAUAUCAAUAAGCGGAGGA